RNAcentral lists this small nuclear RNA (311 nucleotides) under Tupaia belangeri (northern tree shrew). RNAcentral's name for it is "7SK RNA (ENSTBEG00000020455.1)". It matches the Rfam family "7SK RNA". From Rfam's summary of the family: 7SK was discovered as an abundant small nuclear RNA in the mid-70s but a possible function has only recently been suggested. Two independent studies have found that 7SK RNA binds the CDK9/cyclin T complex (known as elongation factor P-TEFb). The record is from RNAcentral. Lineage: Eukaryota; Metazoa; Chordata; Mammalia; Scandentia; Tupaiidae.
GAAUGUGAGGGCGAUCUGGCUGCGACAUCUGUCACCCCAUUGAUUGCCGGGAUUGAUCCAGCUGAUCUGGCUGGCUAGGUGGGUGUCCCCUUCCUCUCUCACCGCUCCGUGUGCUUCUCCCCGCCCCCGGGAAGCUGCACUGAGCACUCAGUCAGAGAGGAUGGCCAUCCCCAGGAGAGGAGGACCAGUCUUCAGCCAAGGGUAUACAAGUAGCUGUGAGCCCCUUUUAGACCCUCCAAACGAGCUCUCCAGGUCCCUUGUAGGAGACACAUCCAAAUGAGGCACUGCAUGCCAGCAGGCUGCUGUUCUUU